RNAcentral lists this ribosomal RNA (423 nucleotides) under Triticum aestivum (bread wheat). RNAcentral's name for it is "partial small subunit ribosomal RNA". Lineage: Eukaryota; Viridiplantae; Streptophyta; Magnoliopsida; Poales; Poaceae. The record is from RNAcentral.
AUGAGUAUCUUACGCUGGAACCGUCGAGGCUUGGGGUCGGACUCGACAGUUGGCGAGCUUCGCUGGCUUGUGAAGCUUUAUCGCCCCACCCUCCUCUUUUUGUCAGAGACGAAGAUGAGGGAUUCCGGCGCUAAAAAAAUUCUAUGGUCAUUAGGUUUUUCCAGUGGCCAUGGUGUGAGUAGUAAUGGCCUAAGUGGUGGCCUAGUUCUGUUCUGGUCAGUGUCAGUAAGUGUCUCUUUGAAAGCUUUCAAUAGCCGCUGCAUUGAUGUUCAUGUCAAGCCCGAGGAGGGGGUAUCUUGGCGAGAAACGUUCAUUUAUGAAGAACCAAGGAGAGAGGACAAAGCUCAGUUCUGGAACUUUCUGUUGGAAAUAUGCCCUAGAGGCAAUAAUAAAAUGGUUAUUAUUGCAUUUCCUUGUUCAUGA